CCUUUACUAUAGCUUGACACUGAACAUUGAGCCUUGAUGUGUAGGAUAGGUGGGAGGCUUUGAAGUGUGGACGCCAGUCUGCAUGGAGCCGACCUUGAAAUACCACCCUUUAAUGUUUGAUGUUCUAACGUUGACCCGUAAUCCGGGUUGCGGACAGUGUCUGGUGGGUAGUUUGACUGGGGCGGUCUCCUCCUAAAGAGUAACGGAGGAGCACGAAGGUUGGCUAAUCCUGGUCGGACAUCAGGAGGUUAGUGCAAUGGCAUAAGCCAGCUUGACUGCGAGCGUGACGGCGCGAGCAGGUGCGAAAGCAGGUCAUAGUGAUCCGGUGGUUCUGAAUGGAAGGGCCAUCGCUCAACGGAUAAAAGGUACUCCGGGGAUAACAGGCUGAUACCGCCCAAGAGUUCAUAUCGACGGCGGUGUUUGGCACCUCGAUGUCGGCUCAUCACAUCCUGGGGCUGAAGUAGGUCCCAAGGGUAUGGCUGUUCGCCAUUUAAAGUGGUACGCGAGCUGGGUUUAGAACGUCGUGAGACAGUUCGGUCCCUAUCUGCCGUGGGCGCUGGAGAACUGAGGGGGGCUGCUCCUAGUACGAGAGGACCGGAGUGGACGCAUCACUGGUGUUCGGGUUGUCAUGCCAAUGGCACUGCCCGGUAGCUAAAUGCGGAAGAGAUAAGUGCUGAAAGCAUCUAAGCACGAAACUUGCCCCGAGAUGAGUUCUCCCUGACUCCUUGAGAGUCCUGAAGGAACGUUGAAGACGACGACGUUGAUAGGCCGGGUGUGUAAGCGCAGCGAUGCGUUGAGCUAACCGGUACUAAUGAACCGUGAGG
Molecule: ribosomal RNA, 824 nt
Filed under: Escherichia coli
Lineage: Bacteria; Pseudomonadati; Pseudomonadota; Gammaproteobacteria; Enterobacterales; Enterobacteriaceae
Description: partial 23S ribosomal RNA
Rfam family: Bacterial large subunit ribosomal RNA
Source: RNAcentral